UGGGGAAUUUUGGACAAUGGGGGCAACCCUGAUCCAGCCAUUCCGCGUGGGUGAAGAAGGCCUUCGGGUUGUAAAGCCCUUUCGGCCGGAGCGAAACGGCAGGCGCUAACAUCGCCUGUUAAUGACGGUACCGGCAGAAGAAGCACCGGCUAACUACGUGCCAGCAGCCGCGGUAAUACGUAGGGUGCGAGCGUUAAUCGGAAUUACUGGGCGUAAAGCGUGCGCAGGCGGCUAUAUAAGACAGAGGUGAAAUCCCCGGGCUUAACCUGGGAACUGCCUUUGUGACUGUAUGGCUAGAGUGCGUCAGAGGGGGGUGGAAUUCCACGUGUAGCAGUGAAAUGCGUAGAGAUGUGGAGGAACACCGAUGGCGAAGGCAGCCCCCUGGGAUGACACUGACGCU
This 400-nucleotide ribosomal RNA is filed under the name uncultured bacterium. RNAcentral's name for it is "bacterial SSU rRNA". It matches the Rfam family "Bacterial small subunit ribosomal RNA", at positions 355 to 747 of the family's 1533-position model. The record is from RNAcentral.